Hyla sarda is the source of this 174-nucleotide long non-coding RNA. RefSeq lists it as uncharacterized. Lineage: Eukaryota; Metazoa; Chordata; Amphibia; Anura; Hylidae. The record is from RefSeq and is a predicted model, not a curated record. The transcript has 3 exons.
AUUGGUUGCCUAGGGCAACUCAGCAACUUUUCCUCUGGACAGGUUUUCAUAAAUCUACCCCCAGGAUCAACAUGACAGAUCGGUUAGGAUUGGUUGUUUCUCCAACCCCAUUGCUUUAGAAAUGGAUUCUGUAUACUGUACUUCAAAAGAGAACUCGUCUGGAUUGCUCAUCGC